AAUGAAGUGCCUGAAAAAAAAGGGUUAUCUUGAUAGGAUAAAUCAUGUAAAAAUAUACCUUCAUUA
Molecule: transfer RNA, 66 nt
Filed under: Uloma sp. BMNH 1425257
Lineage: Eukaryota; Metazoa; Arthropoda; Insecta; Coleoptera; Tenebrionidae
Description: tRNA-Ile
Source: RNAcentral